CGGAGGCGCCGGGGCGAGCGGGGUAGGCUGCACGAGAGGCCGAGAGGGGGCAGCAGGCGAUGGCGGCGGCGGCGGGUCGGCUGGGUUGGUUGGUCGCUGCGCUCUGCCUGGGCAACGCCGCCGGGGAAGCGGCGCCGGGUGUGCAAGUGCUGGGUUUCUGUGUAGAGGAGGACGAAGCGCCCGGUGUGGAGUGGGCACGCGGAGGUGGGGCGCGUGCCGUGCCGGAGGCCACCUUCCGCUUGCGCCUCUUCGGCUCGGCUUUCGCCAACAGCUCUUGGACCUGUGUGACCCCCAAGGGGACGGGCUGCCCCGAGGGCCAGGCGGUCGCGGCGCCCGAGGAGACGGUGGCGGCCCUCACGGACGAGUGGCGCGCGCUGCUGUGCCUGCGCUCCGAGGCCCUGCGCCCGCACUCGGCGCUGCUCGCUGUGCGCGUGGAGCCGGGCGGCGGGGCGGCCGAGGAGGCGGCGCCGCCGUGGGCGCUGGGCCUGGGGGCGGCCGGGCUGCUGGCGCUGGCGGCCCUGGCGCGGGGCCUGCAGCUGAGCGCGCUGGCGCUGGCGCCGGCCGAGGUGCAGGUGCUGCGUGAGAGCGGCUCGGAGGCGGAGCGUGCGGCGGCGCGGCGUCUGGAGCCCGCGCGGCGCUGGGCCGGUUGCGCCUUGGGCGCGCUGCUGCUGCUGGCCAGCUUGGCGCAGGCGGCGCUGGCGGUGUUGCUGUACAGCGCGGCCGGCCAGCGCGCCCUGCCCGCCGUGCUGGGCUGCGCGGGGCUGGUGUUCCUGGUGGGCGAGGUGGUGCCGGCAGCCGUGAGCGGACGCUGGACGCUGGCGCUGGCGCCGCGCGCUCUGGGCCUCAGCCGCCUGGCGGUGCUUCUCACCUUGCCCGUGGCGCUGCCGGUCGGCCAGCUGCUGGAGCUGGCGGCGCGUCCCGGGCGGCUGCGGGAGCGCGUCCUGGAACUGGCUCGCGGCGGCGGCGACCCCUACAGCGACCUCAGCAAGGGCGUGCUGCGCUACCGGACGGUGGAAGACGUGCUCACGCCCCUCGAAGACUGUUUCAUGCUGGAUGCCAGCGCGGUGCUGGACUUCGGCGUCCUGGCCAGCAUCAUGCAGAGCGGCCACACGCGCAUCCCCGUGUAUGAGGAGGAGCGCUCCAACAUCGUGGACAUGCUGUACCUCAAGGAUUUGGCCUUCGUGGACCCGGAAGACUGCACGCCUCUCAGCACCAUCACUCGAUUCUACAACCACCCUCUCCACUUCGUCUUCAACGACACCAAGCUGGACGCCGUCCUGGAGGAGUUCAAGCGAGGCAAGUCCCACCUGGCCAUCGUGCAGAAGGUCAACAACGAGGGUGAGGGAGACCCCUUCUAUGAGGUCCUGGGCCUGGUCACCUUGGAGGACGUCAUUGAGGAGGUCAUCAAGUCCGAGAUCCUGGAUGAGUCGGAGGACUACCGGGAGAUCCUGGCAAGGAGGAGGCCGACUGUUCCAAGUGCACCCCUCAAGCGGAAAGAGGAGUUUUCCCUGUUCAGGGUGUCUGAUGAUGAGUGUAAAACCAGAAUCUCACCUCAGCUGCUGCUGGCCACCCAGCGCUUCCUCUCCCGAGAGGUGGAUGUGUUCAACCCACUCCGAGUCUCCGAGAAGGUCCUGCUGCACCUGCUGAAGCAUCCCAGCGUCAACCAGGAAGUACACUUUGACGAGAGCAACCGCCUGGCUGCACAUCACUACCUGUACCAGCGCAGCCGGCCUGUGGACUACUUCAUUCUCAUCCUGCAGGGCAGAGUGGAGGUAGAGAUUGGGAAAGAAGGCCUGAAGUUCGAGAAUGGGGCCUUCACCUACUAUGGAGUGUCUGCCCUGACAGCACCGUCCUCGGUUCACCAGUCCCCAGUGUGCUCGCGCCCGCCUGCCCGUCCUGACCUGCAGCCCGAGCCGGCUGACUGCACCCGCUCCUCCACGUACUGUCCUGACUACACCGUGAGGGCCCUCUCUGACCUGCAGCUCAUUAAGGUUACCCGGCUGCAGUACCUCAAUGCACUCCUGGCCACCCGGGCCCAGAGCCUGCCACCAUCCCCGGAGAGCGCCAAUCUCCAGGUCGUCCCAGGCAGCCAGACCAGGCUGCUGGGUGAGAAGACGGCUGCAGCAGCCGCUUUCCCAGUAGACCUUUCCCUCUUUGGCACAUUUGGAAACUGCAGUUGAUAAAUGACUAUGGACUAGUGAGCGUUUUUUGUUUUAAGGAAACACCCAAGGGUCCAGCCACAGCAGACCCAGCAUCCCUGUGGAGGAGAGCCCUGGGCGCAACCCAGGAGUCUAGCUGCUUGCCAGGCAGCCCCAAGCCAGGGAGCAGGCAAGCACGUGGGAGGUGGCGUGAGCCGAGAAGUCCCCGCUCUCUGCAGGCCACGUUGUAGAUGGCCCUUACUGGUGCAGCCUUGGGGCCUCCUCAGCCAGACAGCAGUGCAGGAGCCUUCACUAGGCCCUGGGCCCUGCUUCAGGAGACGGGGGGCU
RNA transcript from Ochotona princeps (American pika), 2486 nucleotides. It is a transcript of the gene named cyclin and CBS domain divalent metal cation transport mediator 3, with no coding region annotated. The transcript is spliced from 9 exons. The record is from RefSeq and is a predicted model, not a curated record. Lineage: Eukaryota; Metazoa; Chordata; Mammalia; Lagomorpha; Ochotonidae.